RNAcentral lists this ribosomal RNA (253 nucleotides) under uncultured bacterium. RNAcentral's name for it is "partial 16S ribosomal RNA". It matches the Rfam family "Bacterial small subunit ribosomal RNA", at positions 524 to 776 of the family's 1533-position model. The record is from RNAcentral.
UACAGAGGGUGCAAGCGUUAAUCGGACUUAUUGGGCGUAAAGGGUGUGUAGGUGGUUGCGUAAGUUAGAUGUGAAAUCCCCGGGCUUAACCUGGGAACUGCGUUUAAAACUACGAAGCUAGAGUAUUGCAGAGGAUAGUGGAAUUUCCAGUGUAGCGGUGAAAUGCGUAGAGAUGGGAAGGAACAACAGUGGCGAAGGCGACUAUCUGGGCAAAUACUGACACUGAGACACGAAAGCGUGGGGAGCAAACAGG